Molecule: ribosomal RNA, 343 nt
Filed under: uncultured bacterium
Lineage: Bacteria
Description: bacterial SSU rRNA
Rfam family: Bacterial small subunit ribosomal RNA
Source: RNAcentral
ACGAACGCUGGCGGCAGGCCUAACACAUGCAAGUCGAACGCUCCGCAAGGGGAGUGGCGCACGGGUGAGUAACACGUGGGAACCUACCUUCUGGUACGGAACAACCAAGGGAAACUUUGGCUAAGACCGUAUACGACCUCCGGGUGAAAGAUUGAUCGCCGGAAGAGGGGCCCGCGUCCGAUUAGGUAGUUGGUGAGGUAACGGCUCACCAAGCCUUCGAUCGGUAGCUGGUCUGAGAGGAUGACCAGCCACACUGGGACUGAGACACGGCCAGACUCCUACGGGAGGCAGCAGUGGGGAAUAUUGGACAAUGGGCGCAAGCCUGAUCCAGCCAUGCCGCGUG